GAUGAACGCUGGCGGCGUGCCUAAUACAUGCAAGUCGAGCGAACAGACGAGGAGCUUGCUCCUCUUACGUUAGCGGCGGACGGGUGAGUAACACGUGGAUAACCUACCUAUAAUACUGGGAUAACUUCGGGAAACCGGAGCUAAUACCGGAUAAUAUAUUGAACCGCAUGGUUCAAUAGUGAAAGACGGUUUUGCUGUCACUUAUAGAUGGAUCCGCGCCGCAUUAGCUAGUUGGUAAGGUAACGGCUUACCAAGGCAACGAUGCGUAGCCGACCUGAGAGGGUGAUCGGCCACACUGGAACUGAGACACGGUCCAGACUCCUACGGGAGGCAGCAGUAGGGAAUCUUCCGCAAUGGGCGAAAGCCUGACGGAGCAACGCCGCGUGAGUGAUGAAGGUCUUCGGAUCGUAAAACUCUGUUAUUAGGGAAGAACAAAUGUGUAAGUAACUAUGCACGUAUUGACGGUAACUAAUCAGAAAGCCACGGCUAACUACGUG
Molecule: ribosomal RNA, 497 nt
Filed under: uncultured bacterium
Lineage: Bacteria
Description: partial 16S ribosomal RNA
Rfam family: Bacterial small subunit ribosomal RNA
Source: RNAcentral